GUGCACUUAUCGUAACCUGGUUCACUCUUGGUAUGAAUUUGGGUUCCAUUCAGGUGCCAGAUCAAACUUCAGUGAGGCAGGGGAGCGGCAUCAUUUUUUUUGCUGUUCCCUGUUCACUCUCUGGGAACAUCA
This is a small nucleolar RNA of Oncorhynchus mykiss (rainbow trout), 132 nucleotides long. Lineage: Eukaryota; Metazoa; Chordata; Actinopteri; Salmoniformes; Salmonidae. The record is from Ensembl.